AUUGAACGCUGGCGGCAGGCUUAACACAUGCAAGUCGAGCGGGGUGAUGGUGCUUGCACUAUCACUUAGCGGCGGACGGGUGAGUAAUGCUUAGGAAUCUGCCUAUUAGUGGGGGACAACAUCUCGAAAGGGAUGCUAAUACCGCAUACGUCCUACGGGAGAAAGCAGGGGAUCACUUGUGACCUUGCGCUAAUAGAUGAGCCUAAGUCGGAUUAGCUAGUUGGUGGGGUAAAGGCCUACCAAGGCGACGAUCUGUAGCGGGUCUGAGAGGAUGAUCCGCCACACUGGGACUGAGACACGGCCCAGACUCCUACGGGAGGCAGCAGUGGGGAAUAUUGGACAAUGGGGGGAACCCUGAUCCAGCCAUGCCGCGUGUGUGAAGAAGGCCUUAUGGUUGUAAAGCACUUUAAGCGGGGAGGAGGCUCUUUUGGUUAAUACCCAAGAUGAGUGGACGUUACUCGCAGAAUGAGCACCGGCUAACUCUGUGCCAGCCGCCGCGGUAA
This 503-nucleotide ribosomal RNA is filed under the name uncultured bacterium. RNAcentral's name for it is "partial 16S ribosomal RNA". It matches the Rfam family "Bacterial small subunit ribosomal RNA", at positions 30 to 523 of the family's 1533-position model. The record is from RNAcentral.